This 487-nucleotide ribosomal RNA is filed under the name uncultured Omnitrophica bacterium. RNAcentral describes it as "bacterial SSU rRNA". It matches the Rfam family "Bacterial small subunit ribosomal RNA", at positions 917 to 1381 of the family's 1533-position model. The record is from RNAcentral. Lineage: Bacteria; Pseudomonadati; Candidatus Omnitrophota.
ACGGGGCCGCACAAGCAGUGGACCAUGUGGUUCAAUUCGACGCUACGCGAAGAACCUCACCAGGGUUUGACAUAUAGGUAGUAGGAACCUGAAAUGGAGACGACUCGUUAAGCCGAGUGCCUAUACAGGUGUUGCAUGGCUGUCGUCAGCUCGUGCCGUGAGGUGUUGGGUUAAGUCCCGCAACGAGCGCAACCAUCAUCCUUAGUUGCUACCGAGGGAUCCGAAAGGGUCCUGGCGAGCACUCUAAGGAGACUGCCCGUGAUAAACGGGAGGAAGGUGGAGAUGACGUCAAGUCCGUAUGGCCCUUAUACCCUGGGCUACACACGUGUUACAAUGGGAUGUACAGAGCGUUGCCAAACCGCGAGGUGGAGCUAAUCGCAAAAAGCAUCCCCCAGUUCAGAUUGGAGUCUGCAACCCGACUCCAUGAAGUUGGAAUUGCUAGUAACGGCGGAUCAGCUACGCCGCCGUGAAUACGUUCCCGGGCCUU